UACGUAGGGUGCGAGCGUUAAUCGGAAUUACUGGGCGUAAAGCGUGCGCAGGCGGUCUGUUAAGACCGAUGUGAAAUCCCCGGGCUUAACCUGGGAACUGCAUUGGUGACUGGCAGGCUUUGAGUGUGGCAGAGGGAGGUAGAAUUCCACGUGUAGCAGUGAAAUGCGUAGAGAUGUGGAGGAACACCAAUGGCGAAAGGCAGCCUUCUGGGCCAACACUCGACGCUCAUGCACGAAAGCGUGGGGAUCAAACAGG
Molecule: ribosomal RNA, 256 nt
Filed under: uncultured bacterium
Lineage: Bacteria
Description: partial 16S ribosomal RNA
Rfam family: Bacterial small subunit ribosomal RNA
Source: RNAcentral